Molecule: ribosomal RNA, 465 nt
Filed under: Vreelandella stevensii
Lineage: Bacteria; Pseudomonadati; Pseudomonadota; Gammaproteobacteria; Oceanospirillales; Halomonadaceae
Description: partial 16S ribosomal RNA
Rfam family: Bacterial small subunit ribosomal RNA
Source: RNAcentral
CCCACGGGUGGCAGCAGUGGGGAAUAUUGGACAAUGGGCGAAAGCCUGAUCCAGCCAUGCCGCGUGUGUGAAGAAGGCCUUCGGGUUGUAAAGCACUUUCAGUGGGGAAGAAAGCCUUGGGGCUAAUACCCUCGAGGAAGGACAUCACCCACAGAAGAAGCACCGGCUAACUCCGUGCCAGCAGCCGCGGUAAUACGGAGGGUGCGAGCGUUAAUCGGAAUUACUGGGCGUAAAGCGCGCGUAGGCGGUCUGAUAAGCCGGUUGUGAAAGCCCCGGGCUCAACCUGGGAACGGCAUCCGGAACUGUCAGGCUAGAGUGCAGGAGAGGAAGGUAGAAUUCCCGGUGUAGCGGUGAAAUGCGUAGAGAUCGGGAGGAAUACCAGUGGCGAAGGCGGCCUUCUGGACUGACACUGACGCUGAGGUGCGAAAGCGUGGGUAGCAAACAGGAUUAGAUACCCGAGUAGUC